RNAcentral lists this ribosomal RNA (253 nucleotides) under uncultured bacterium. RNAcentral's name for it is "partial 16S ribosomal RNA". It matches the Rfam family "Bacterial small subunit ribosomal RNA", at positions 524 to 776 of the family's 1533-position model. The record is from RNAcentral.
UACGUAGGGACCAAGCGUUGUUCGGAUUUACUGGGCGUAAAGGGCUCGUAGGCGGCCAACUAAGUCAGACGUGAAAUCCCCAGGCUCAACCUGGGAACUGCGUCUGAUACUGGAUGGCUUGAAUCCGGGAGAGGGAUGCAGAAUUCCAGGUGUAGCGGUGAAAUGCGUAGAUAUCUGGAGGAAUACCGGUGGCGAAGGCGGCAUCCUGGACCGGCAUUGACGCUGAGGAGCGAAAGCCAGGGGAGCAAACGGG